Long non-coding RNA from Columba livia (rock pigeon), 355 nucleotides. RefSeq lists it as uncharacterized. The transcript is spliced from 2 exons. The record is from RefSeq and is a predicted model, not a curated record. NCBI's taxonomy places the organism in Eukaryota, Metazoa, Chordata, Aves, Columbiformes, Columbidae.
CCGCCCUGACCCCUACACCGCCCCAUAGACCCUUGUGAUCCCCUCCCGCCCCAUCCCCGCCAUGGUGUGCAGUGGGGAUGUGGCCAGCCGGAGGAGGUGGGGGGGGCGCACAGUCAGCAGGAUUGGGGGGGGGGGCACGUGGUCAGACGAGUUGCAAGGGGGGGGUACACGCGGUCAGCCGGAGGGGGGGGCGCGGUCAGCCGGAGGGGGGGGCGCGGUCAGCCGGAGGGGGCGUGGCCAGGCUGCCUUCGCUGUUCUCUGCGCAGGAGCUGCAGUGGGAAAGGGAAGGAAAGGGCCGUUAUUUGUGUCACAGUCCUGGGAAACAGCCCCAAAUCCCCCCGCUUCAACAUUAACC